RNAcentral lists this long non-coding RNA (683 nucleotides) under Struthio camelus australis. RNAcentral's name for it is "lncRNA (ENSSCUG00000016685.1)". Lineage: Eukaryota; Metazoa; Chordata; Aves; Struthioniformes; Struthionidae. The record is from RNAcentral.
UUAUUAUUAUUAUUAAUUUGUUUUUUUUUUUUUAAAUCACUGUUACAAAAGGUUGUUUCAGCAGGCGGUUGCUUCCCUCCUGAGCAGGGCUGUUUUCCAUCUCUAUGAGGGUUGGAGGGGAGAAGGGUCUCGAGGAAUCCAGAAUUCUGGAAGGAUCCCAGAAUUUCAAGGGAUGCUGUGCAUGUCCCCUAACAGGCAAGGAAGGCAGCAGGCUUUGCUGUGGAAGUACUCCUAGAAAAUGAAGCUUAAAAGGCAUACUGACAAUGGUGCCUGAGUGAGCUGGCCUAUUUGAUGGAGUAGACAUACCAACAGUCUUGUGUCCCAGCCAGACAUGGACCCCAAAGCUCAGAGCUGUGAAGGCACUGGAGAAUUGCUGAUGGAAAAAGAAAACCCAGCGAUCAUCUCUAGUACGCAUGGGCCUCAGAGUAUUUGGCACAAGGCAGCAUGCAAGAUGAAAGUGUGUCUCUUGACAGCCAGCUCCGUACUGGCAGCCUUUACUCCAGGCAACAAAUUAAUCCACUUGACUGUGUUCGGCAUAAUUGUUGAUACUGCCUUAAUUGGUACCAUACGUUUCUCCGUGUCGACAUGUCCAUCAUGUUAUUGUCUGGGGACUGUUGUUUCCUACCAGCUUGGGAACAGCAUAAGCUGCUCCUUCCUAACCGAACUCUUACCGUAAGUGUCUC